Non-coding RNA from Triticum aestivum (bread wheat), 122 nucleotides. Lineage: Eukaryota; Viridiplantae; Streptophyta; Magnoliopsida; Poales; Poaceae. The record is from Rfam.
AUCAUACUCCCUCCGUCCCGAAAUACUCGUCAGAGAAAUGAAUAAAAUUGGAUGUAUUAACUAAAAUACGUCUAGAUACAUCCAUUUCUUCGAUAAAUAUUUUCGGACGGAGGGAGUAUUUG